GGCUUAUCAGAAGGAUACGUCCAUUAGAGUAGAAUGAAACCAAUCCUGGUGGUUGUGUGCUUCGAAGCAGAUUGCACAAAUCCACAUGUAGGUAUUUUGCCAGGAGAAUCUUCUCUUCUGUUGGUCUAUAAAUUGAAUAAGUUUCCUUCUGGGUUCUCUGUGGAUUUGUGUGAGUUUUGCAUGAUGUUUGUUUGUUUAAUACUAUACCAUGGAGAAUAAGCUCAAGUCUGGCUGCUGAGAUGUGGGCUAAAUGGAGAUGAACUAUGCAAAGCAGCUGUAGAAGAUGUGGUGCUGGUAAAGGAUUAUUGAUUCCUCGAACUUGGAUGCAUAUUAUAUUGACCGUUAAUAGGAGUAGUAUAGCAGGCAGUAUUUGAGAGUGAGCAAUAUUAUUAGUUUUCGCCAUUUAACGGUUGACUGUUGUAUUCAAUCGGUGAUUCUACCAACACAAUAUAGUAUGAUAUAAUUUCUCCUGCAAGUGGGCUGUUAAGAAAUACUUCAUCGAUUCACAAGAUAAGAUCGCAGGUUAAUCUGGUGAUAGCACUAACCAGAAAUAUGGGCAACAAUAUGUGACACCAAAAUCCUGACAUAAAUCAAACACUCACUCUACCAUUACACUUGGAUCCUCAUUUGAGGGGCAACCAUAAAUUGAACACAGCGAUUAUCCCUUUGCAGUGUAACAAAUAUCCCCUACGUAAUGUGAACUCGACCCCCUUUGCAGCAUCAGCACAACCUGAAAUAAUAAAAGUAAGCAGCACACGUCGUCGAGUUUGCAUAUUUUGGUAGCGCAAGAGAAAGAGAGAUGAUACUGCGAGAAUGAUUGGACCGAUUUAGUGCUGUCGGCCUCGCCCAAAACCAAGCGUACCCCUUCAUCACUGUUGGGUUGGAAACCCGGUUCCACGCGGUGAUAGAUGCCGGAUUAGUGGUUGGUGUCGUUGUAGCCCUGGUCCAGUGAUUCCCGUUUUUAUGUAUUUGUCGAAUUCUGUUUGAAAGUGUACACUUUUUAAUAAAAUACACCAAAUAUGCGCAUUAUCCUAGCUCUUGGACUCUCUGGCUGUCGAUCUUCUCGAUAUCAAUAAUUCUCCAUCUAUCGAGGAAUUCUUCAGUCCCUUCAGUCUGCAUACUUCAAUUAUCUUCAUUCCUCGAUAUUUCCCUUGCUUGAAGGAUCUCUUCCUCGACGGUCCCUUGGAUUCUGUUUGCUUUAAAAAUCUCUUCCGGUUGUCAAUAAUUUCACUUUCUCAUGGCUUGCAUAGACAUUUUUCUUGGCGAAUCGAAGCUUUGAAGGGUGUUUGACAUUAGUUUGUUUUUGUUUGAUGGACGUUGCCAUUAUUACACACAUAUUUUCAAUCGAGUCUUCAUUUUGCAUCGUUCUGUAAACUGAUGAUUCUCUUCCUCGACGGUCCCUUGGAUAUUGACAACCAGAGAGUCGACUGUAGUAAAUCGGUACAGUGAGAUAACGAACUGGUGAGAGCCUUUUACUCUGAGGUUCAUUUCAAACAAAGUUUACCCGUGCAAAAAUAGCAAACAAAUUGACUACAGAUCUUGGGACCGUGGUGUAGGGGUUAGCGUGAUUGCCACUCACCCAGUCGGCCUGGGUUCGAUCCCAGACGGUCCCGGUGGCAUUUUUCGAGACGAGAUUUGUCUGAUCACGCCUUCCGUCGGACGAGAAGUAAAUGUUGGCCCCGGACUAACCUAAAAAGGUUAGGUCGUUAGCUCAAUCCAGGUGUAGGAGUCGUCUCCCUGGGUCCUGCUUAGGUGGUGUCAAUGGUAGGCAGU
This is a long non-coding RNA of Culex pipiens pallens (northern house mosquito), 1773 nucleotides long. RefSeq lists it as uncharacterized. The transcript is spliced from 3 exons. Lineage: Eukaryota; Metazoa; Arthropoda; Insecta; Diptera; Culicidae. The record is from RefSeq and is a predicted model, not a curated record.